Clupea harengus (Atlantic herring) is the source of this 282-nucleotide long non-coding RNA. Lineage: Eukaryota; Metazoa; Chordata; Actinopteri; Clupeiformes; Clupeidae. The record is from Ensembl.
AAAAAAAAAAAGUUGUACAUUAACAUCAAGUCCCUUUCAUGUCAUUAUUAUUAUUAUUUUUUUUUUUUUUAAGAUUUAUUUAUGGGCUUUUUAGCCUUUAUUUGGAUAGGACAGUGAAGUAUUCUUGGACAUGAAGUGAGGAGGAGUGAAGAGGAUCGGGAAACGACAGCAGGCCGGAAUCGAACCUGUGUCCCCGCGGGCCUUGUAGCCCGUAAAUGGGGGCGCGCCACAGUGCCCCCCCUUUCAUGUCAAUAUUAGGUCAUAUAAAACAAAUACAUUAAC